UUAUUAGGGGGUAGGUUGGGUAUUUCGCGAAUGGUCCAUUGAUUCACACCCACAAUUAUCUCCACUAGCCCGAUUAAACCUGUUGGAUUUCCGAAGUUCUCUCCACUCGCUUCUACACACGUUGUUGGUUGGGUUUGUGGUGUCACCGAGGUGUUUCGUCAAUGAGGGGUGCACAACGUCUGAGUCAUAGCAAUGGUUGUCAGUGGGGUCCAGACGAGGAGCAAGCGGCGGGGACCAACGGCUCGAUGUGGCGUUCAAGGUAUGUUUUCUUCUACUUUUUGAGGGUUUUUUUUUUCAAAUCCGUGGUCUUCGUGCUGGGUUUUGCGAUGUAUUUGUUGCAUUUACAUUCAUGAAUUAGUCUAUGUGCUGUUGUUGGGUGUUCGUUGUGUACUAGGUUUGGUGGGUGGGUUUUGUUCUAGGGUUUAGGUGUCUUCGUAAUUCUUGGUGGGUUUUGGGUUUUUUUUUUUUUGUUGUUCUCACAUAUAAUGGUUUUAUGUUAUGGUGUUUACUUCCAAUUUCAGAGUUUCUGUUUGUUAUCGGAUUUCGGUGGUGGUCUUCCAAAUUCUUGCUGGGUUUUGGAGGUUUCUUUGUUUUUCACGCGUAUAAUGGGUGUGGUUUUUAGGGUGUUCUGUUUUUUUUUUUCAUCUUUUUUUUUCCUGUGUUUGUUCGGGUUUGUGAGUUGGUUUGGGCUCUAGUCUGCGUGCGUGUGUGUGGUUGCGGGUAUAGGUGCGUGGUGGCGGGUUUUGUUCAAGAGUUUAUUUGUCUUUGAAAUUCUUGGUGGUUUUUGGUAUUCUGUUGGUGAUUUACUUGUACAAUGUUUGUGUUUUUUUACUGUUUUUGCUGCCAAUGUUGGUGUUUUGUGUUAUUGGUCAUUUUUGUGUUUUUGUUCGUUCUUUUGUGCAUAUGGUAUGAGCGCGUGCGGUGGCGAUUGUAUGUGUGUUGUUUUUGCUGUAUUUUUUGGUUCUUGUUGUUGUUGUUUUCCGGCUGUGUUGUCCUGGUGUUGAUUUGCAGGUUUGUUUAGGGAAGAAGGCCAAAGUUGUGCGGUGCGAACUUGAUGGUAGCGACGAUGAUUUUGUCGCGCCUCCUUUGGCUUCUCUUGCUAGGUUGCAAGAAGACCCAGUGUGGAAAGCUCUGGAUGGAGGGCUGACUGCGGAGGAGGAUGCAGCAUUUCCUAAGAUCAAGACUAGUUGUUGCAGGUAAGAAGUCAAAGGUAUCUCAGUCUCAACCUGGUGUCUCGCACAGUUGCGAGAGCAAUGAUGAUUUUGUAUUGCCACCUUUGACUUUCCUUGCAAGAUUGCAAAAAUAUCCAGUGUGAAAUGCCCCCGACCAUGAGCUUACUACAGAAGAGGAUGCGAAGUUUCCUAGGGUGAAGACUAGGGCGCCGUCUGCUGCCUUCGUUAAAUUUAUUUAAACUCUAUUUUGGUUAGGCCUUUUUGUGGGCAUUUGAUGUUUAUUCUUUACGUUUUAUUUAGCUACAGUAUGCACCUAUUUCACAUUGUAGAUUUUUGUUGACGAUGUAUAUAUCAAACAUUUUUUACUCACAGAUGACAGCUUGUAAAUACCUUGUUAUUAUUAUUUUGUUAAUAGUGGGUACAUGUGUGCAUAAA
Long non-coding RNA from Ipomoea triloba (trilobed morning glory), 1607 nucleotides. RefSeq lists it as uncharacterized. The record is from RefSeq and is a predicted model, not a curated record. The transcript is spliced from 2 exons. NCBI's taxonomy places the organism in Eukaryota, Viridiplantae, Streptophyta, Magnoliopsida, Solanales, Convolvulaceae.